AUUGAACGCUGGCGGCAGGCCUAACACAUGCAAGUCGAGCGGCAACGGGAAAAGGUUUACUUUUUUGCCGGCGAGCGGCGGACGGGUGAGUAAUGUCUGGGGAUCUGCCCGAUGGAGGGGAAUAACUAUUGGAAACGGUAGCUAAUGCCACAUAAUGUCGCAAGACCAAAGGUUAGGUUUUACCUUGCGCCAUCGGAUGAACCCAGAUGGGAUUAGCUAGUAGGUGGGGUAAAGGCUCACCUAGGCAACGAUCCCUAGCUGGUCCGAGAGGAUGACCAGCCACACUGGAACUGAGAUACGGUCCAGACUCCUACGGGAGGCAGCAGUGGGGAAUAUUGCACAAUGGGGGAAACCCUGAUGCAGCCAUGCCGCGUGUGUGAAGAAGGCCUUCGGGUUGUAAAGCACUUUCAGCUGGGAAGAACUCGCUAGCGUUAAUAACGCUAGCGAUUGACGUAACCUGCAGAAGAAGCACCGGCUAACUCCGUGCCAGCAGCCGCGGUAAUACGGAGGGUGCAAGCGUUAAUCGGAAUUACUGGGCGUAAAGCGUACGUAGGUGGUUUGUUAAGUCAGAUGUGAAAUCCCUUGGCUUAACCUAGGAAUUGCAUUUGAAACUAACAAGCUAGAGUCUCGUAGAGGGGGGUAGAAUUCCAGGUGUAGCGGUGAAAUGCGUAGAGAUCUGGAGGAAUACCAGUGGCGAAGGCGGCCCCCUGGACGAAGACUGACACUCAGGUACGAAAGCGUGGGGAGCAAACAGGAUUAGAUACCCUGGUAGUCCACACUGUAAACGAUGUCGAUUUGAAGGUUGUGACCUUGAGUUGUAGCUUUCGGAGCUAACGCGUUAAAUCGACCGCCUGGGGAGUACGACCGCAAGGUUAAAACUCAAAUGAAUUGACGGGGGCCCGCACAAGCGGUGGAGCAUGUGGUUUAAUUCGAUGCAACGCGAAAAACCUUACCUACUCUUGACAUACAGAGUACUUAGCAGAGAUGCUUUGGUGCCUUCGGGAACUCUGAAACAGGUGCUGCAUGGCUGUCGUCAGCUCGUGUUGUGAAAUGUUGGGUUAAGUCCCGCAACGAGCGUAACCCCUAUCCUUUGUUGCCAGCGAUUCGGUCGGGAACUCAAAGGAAACUGCCGGUGAUAAACCGGAGGAAGGUGGGGAUGACGUCAAGUCAUCAUGGCCUUUAUGAGUAGGGCUACACACGUGCUACAAUGGUGCAUACAAAGAGAAGCAAUCUCGCAAGAGUCAGCAAACCUCAUAAAGUGCGUCGUAGUCCGGAUUGGAGUCUGCAACUCGACUCCAUGAAGUCGGAAUCGCUAGUAAUCGUGGAUCAGAAUGCCACGGUGAAUACGUUCCCGGGCCUUGUACACACCGCCCGUCACACCAUGGGAGUGGGUUGCAAAAGAAGUGGGUAACCUAACCUCAUUAGGAAACUAAUAGGAGGGUGCUUACCACUUUGUGAUUCAUGACUGGGGUG
Molecule: ribosomal RNA, 1473 nt
Filed under: uncultured bacterium
Lineage: Bacteria
Description: bacterial SSU rRNA
Rfam family: Bacterial small subunit ribosomal RNA
Source: RNAcentral